AAGAGCUUGCUCUUCGAUUCAGCGGCGGACGGGUGAGUAAUGCCUAGGAAUCUGCCUGGUAGUGGGGGACAACGUUUCGAAAGGAACGCUAAUACCGCAUACGUCCUACGGGAGAAAGCAGGGGACCUUCGGGCCUUGCGCUAUCAGAUGAGCCUAGGUCGGAUUAGCUAGUUGGUGGGGUAAUGGCUCACCAAGGCGACGAUCCGUAACUGGUCUGAGAGGAUGAUCAGUCACACUGGAACUGAGACACGGUCCAGACUCCUACGGGAGGCAGCAGUGGGGAAUAUUGGACAAUGGGCGAAAGCCUGAUCCAGCCAUGCCGCGUGUGUGAAGAAGGUCUUCGGAUUGUAAAGCACUUUAAGUUGGGAGGAAGGGCAGUAAGCGAAUACCUUGCUGUUUUGACGUUACCGACAGAAUAAGCACCGGCUAACUCUGUGCCAGCAGCCGCGGUAAUACAGA
RNAcentral lists this ribosomal RNA (459 nucleotides) under Pseudomonas sp. RNAcentral's name for it is "bacterial SSU rRNA". It matches the Rfam family "Bacterial small subunit ribosomal RNA", at positions 74 to 529 of the family's 1533-position model. Lineage: Bacteria; Pseudomonadati; Pseudomonadota; Gammaproteobacteria; Pseudomonadales; Pseudomonadaceae. The record is from RNAcentral.